RNAcentral lists this long non-coding RNA (648 nucleotides) under Hordeum vulgare. RNAcentral describes it as "long non-coding RNA (HVUL_LNC008981)". Lineage: Eukaryota; Viridiplantae; Streptophyta; Magnoliopsida; Poales; Poaceae. The record is from RNAcentral.
UCAUAAAUUCUUCAUAUACAUAUAAUAAAGGUGGUUGUUACAAAUCAACCGACUGAUUUCUUCAAGAAACUAGUUGGGUGGCAGAUCGUCGGAUCCUUCCUCGCAUAGUCAUUCGAUCGACCAAACAUACGCCGUACCACAACGUGACUCACCAUAGAAGCAGCGCCGCCCUGCUCGCAAGCAGGAGUCGCAGCACUGGCGACCCAUCACAACUUCAACGGAUGCUUCAUUGGAGCGCGAACACCUGCACGUCGGCUCUCCAAUGCAACACCGACGGCCCAUCGCAGCUCCACACUGGCGUGUCGGUGCUCCAAUGCAGUAGCGGCGGCCCAUCGCGUCUCUGGCGAUGCUCCAUUACAACGCCGCACUGGCGCAAAGGUGCUCCAACGUAGCACCGACGACCCAUCACAGCUCUGACGAUGCUUCAUUGAAACGCGAACACCUGCACGGCGGCGCUCCAACGCAGCACCAACGGGCCACCGCAUCUCCGGCGAUGCUUAACUGGAGCUGCAGCGCAAUAACGACGACAUAGUGAAUGACGACUCGUGCGGUGAGGUCGAUUGGAGCGGAAAGAGAGAAGCAUGUGCAAUCAUGACAGGAGACACAAGAGUGAAGAAAGAAAUUAGAAAGGGGGAAAGAGAGGAAGAA